This 500-nucleotide ribosomal RNA is filed under the name uncultured bacterium. RNAcentral's name for it is "partial 16S ribosomal RNA". It matches the Rfam family "Bacterial small subunit ribosomal RNA", at positions 30 to 523 of the family's 1533-position model. The record is from RNAcentral.
AUUGAACGCUGGCGGCAUGCCUUACACAUGCAAGUCGAACGGCAGCACGGGAGCAAUCCUGGUGGCGAGUGGCGAACGGGUGAGUAAAGUAUCGGAACGUGCCCAGUCGUGGGGGAUAACGUAGCGAAAGUUACGCUAAUACCGCAUACGAUCUAUGGAUGAAGGCGGGGGAUCGCAAGACCUCGCGCGAUUGGAGCGGCCGAUAUCAGAUUAGGUAGUUGGUGGGGUAAAGGCUCACCAAGCCGACGAUCUGUAGCUGGUCUGAGAGGACGACCAGCCACACUGGGACUGAGACACGGCCCAGGCUCCUACGGGAGGCAGCAGUGGGGAAUUUUGGACAAUGGGCGAAAGCCUGAUCCAGCCAUGCCGCGUGCAGGAUGAAGGCCUUCGGGUUGUAAACUGCUUUUGUACGGAACGAAAAGGUUUGGCCUAAUAAGCUGAGCUCAUGACGGUACCGUAAGAAUAAGCACCGGCUAACUACGUGCCAGCAGCCGCCGUAA